This is a long non-coding RNA of Osmerus eperlanus (European smelt), 173 nucleotides long. RefSeq lists it as uncharacterized. Lineage: Eukaryota; Metazoa; Chordata; Actinopteri; Osmeriformes; Osmeridae. The record is from RefSeq and is a predicted model, not a curated record. The transcript is spliced from 3 exons.
AUAGCCGUGUUGGAGGCAGCCACGUUUGGUCUGGAGGGUCAUGCAGAGGCCUGCUCAACAAAGGAUGCUGAGAUCAACACAGACCCCUUGCUGGACUACCCCUCUCUAGCUGGACAGCUUCUCUUCAGCCCUGACCCCAGGACAGUUUCAUCCAGCUGGCCUGCCCUGCCUGC